UGAGGAAGACUGGCAAUCGCGGGCUCAAGGCCCGAGGAAAGUCCGAACUCCAUAGAGCAGAAUGCUGGUUAACGGCCAGAAAGGGUGACCUUGAGGAAAGUGCCACAGAAACAUACCGCCUCUCUAGAACAUCCCGUAAAGGGAUGACUAGGCAUAGGCAAGGGUGAAAUGGUGAGGUAAGAGCUCACCAGCAGUCGGGUGACCGACUGGCUGGGUAAACCCCAUUCGGAGCAAGACCAAGUAGAGGGGAUGACACAUGCUCAAUGAGUAUGCGCCUGCAGAUUGCUCGUCUGUUAACCUUCGGGUUGGUCGCUGGAGGCAUCAGGUAACUGCUGCCCUAGAUAGAUGGUUGCCGCCCGGGCUUUUGUGAGAAAGCCGGGGUACAGAAUUCGGCUUACGGCUUCCUCGAUCU
This 412-nucleotide RNase P RNA is filed under the name Ktedonosporobacter rubrisoli. Its description in RNAcentral is "Bacterial RNase P class A". It matches the Rfam family "Bacterial RNase P class A". Rfam says of the family: Ribonuclease P (RNase P) is a ubiquitous endoribonuclease, found in archaea, bacteria and eukarya as well as chloroplasts and mitochondria. Its best characterised activity is the generation of mature 5'-ends of tRNAs by cleaving the 5'-leader elements of precursor-tRNAs. Lineage: Bacteria; Bacillati; Chloroflexota; Ktedonobacteria; Ktedonobacterales; Ktedonosporobacteraceae. The record is from Rfam by way of RNAcentral.